Molecule: unclassified non-coding RNA, 240 nt
Filed under: soil metagenome
Description: partial contains 5.8S ribosomal RNA, internal transcribed spacer 2, and large subunit ribosomal RNA
Rfam family: 5.8S ribosomal RNA (bases 1-115)
Source: RNAcentral
GAUGAAGAACGCAGUGAAACGCGAUAUUUCUUGUGAAUUGCAGAAGUGAAUCAUCAGUUUUUAAACGCACAUUGCACUUUGGGGUAUCCCCCAAAGUAUACUUGUUUGAGCGUUGUUUCUCUCUUGGAAUUGCUUUGCUCUUCUAAAAUUUCGAAUCAAAUUCGUUUGAAAAACAACACUAUUCAACCUCAGAUCAAGUAGGAUUACCCGCUGAACUUAAGCAUAUCAAUAAGCGGAGGA